Molecule: long non-coding RNA, 944 nt
Filed under: Homo sapiens (human)
Lineage: Eukaryota; Metazoa; Chordata; Mammalia; Primates; Hominidae
Description: HSALNT0190654
Source: RNAcentral
UAGAAACUGAGGCUCAAAAAAUUAAGGGACCCCUCUGAGUUCAUAAGCUGGUUUAGGACAGGGUCCAGCCUGGAAUCCAGGUGUCUUGACUUUUGUCCUGUGAUGACUUCCUCAGGCUCUUCAGUUGUCAGCUAAGGAAACUGACUCUGGCUAAUUUAAUCAACAAAGGGAUUCUUAGAAGGGUUUUAAGUUGUUCCCAGAAUUAAGGAGACUGCCACCCCAGGCUUUAAAAAGGGCAGGCUCUGGAUAUUUAGGUAACAAGUGUUAAUGAGCCAUUGUAAGGGCACCAGAGUCAGGAUGAAUUCACUCUGGUCCUUUUUCUUCAUUGUGUCACUCCACUCGACAGUCACAUUCCCAGGAGAAAAAAAAAUAUGAGAGUCUCAGUUUGGGUCUCAUUCUCACUCUUUAGAUAGUCAAAUAUUGGUCCUGCCAAUACUGUUGUGCGAUAGUGACUGAGUGAUUUCCCAAAUGGAAAUGGAUGUGCUGUUACCAUAAGAAGAGAAGCUGGAUGUCGGGAAGACAAAAACAACAGAUGUCCACACUACAUCAUAACACAUAGCCGGCAGGAGCUGUGCUUGAUGCCGAAACAUUGACCUCCCAAUAAGCCAAGUCUCCAGGUUGGUAUUCUAUGUUUUGUGAAGUUAUUAGGCAAUGGCUUCCUUUCCUGUUGGUUAUGCAAAUGUUCCCGUGUGAGAAUUCUCCCACGAAGGCCCAGGAAGCAGAGUGGAGGGCGUUCUGUGGUGUGAACGCUGCCAGCCGGUGCUGGAGCUCCAGCUUACUGCACAUUAUGUUGUGCUUGUUCCUGUUUGCCCAGGGGUCAGGUUGCUAUGAAUGUGGAAUUUUGUUUCCUCUCUCUCCAAAUGAAAUAGUCCGAAAAACAUAUUCUCAGCUGUUGAGAAGAAAGUCUGCAUAUUAUUCAUAUUUUCUUCUUGUUACUGAUGCUC